GCCCUUGAUGCUGGGCAAUGGGUCAGUGCAUCUGGCUGGUAACCAGAUGGUUGGUGGUUCGAGCCCACUCAGGGAUG
Podarcis lilfordi (Lilford's wall lizard) is the source of this 77-nucleotide non-coding RNA. The record is from the annotation of a GenBank genome assembly. NCBI's taxonomy places the organism in Eukaryota, Metazoa, Chordata, Lepidosauria, Squamata, Lacertidae.